ACCAUCCUUUUCUUGGGGUUGAGCUGCUGGCCUAUGAAUGGUUAAUGAGGUCAGUACUGCUAACACCACAAACAACACCAAAGCAUCCCUAAUAUCUGUGUAUUAGUGAGGUGCAAUUUUUGGACCC
Molecule: small nuclear RNA, 127 nt
Organism: Rana temporaria (common frog)
Lineage: Eukaryota; Metazoa; Chordata; Amphibia; Anura; Ranidae
Product: U4atac minor spliceosomal RNA
Exons: 1
Source: RefSeq, a predicted model, not a curated record